Molecule: long non-coding RNA, 1708 nt
Filed under: Mustela putorius furo (domestic ferret)
Lineage: Eukaryota; Metazoa; Chordata; Mammalia; Carnivora; Mustelidae
Description: lncRNA (ENSMPUG00000027405.1)
Source: RNAcentral
GGGAGAGACUGCCACAGAGAUGUCCCUAGGGGGACAGAAGAGCAGGUACUGGUCCACAGCCCUGGCAGCUUUUCCACGGGCCAGGCACACUUUGGAGAGUGUCACGUUAGGACCUCACCCAAUCCUCACAUGCACAGGAGGUAGGAACCUGCUAUAAUCUCCGUGUUAAAGAUGAAGCCGCAGAGGCUGAGGGAGAGAACUCCCCCAAGGUCACCAGCAAGUGACAGCUGGGAUCCAGUUCCUGUCAGGCUGGCUCUGAAGCCACAUGCCAGGAUUGAGACUGCAAUCAUGCCCUAGGAGAGCGGCAGGACAGUCCUGGCCGGCCUUUUCCGGGGAGACUGCUUUGUCCAAAAUGCUGAUGUUGAUCCCUCACUUCUUAAAAACCUCCAGAAUUUGGGGCAGGCGGCAAUACCUACCACUUCCUGAGCAGUGCCCCGUCGUGGACCCUGGCUCCCUCUCUGAAGGAGGGCGCUGGCCGCCGGCCACCCGCCACACUCGGGACCGCGCAAGGCCGCCCAGCGGUGCGUGGGGGCGCAGUGGGCCCGUGAGUCUCCGAGUCUCUCAGUUCUGCUCGGAGUCUUGGCCCUGCUUCUUGCUCGCGUUUUCCCCUCAGAUGCCAGCAUUUCAUGCUUCCACCUGUCCCGCCCGACGGAUGGGAGGGCCUGAAUUAUUCUGCACCCGCAACUGAAGGGCGAUGGGCUACUUUCUCUUUUAGUGACAUACACACAGCCUCGAGGUAUCGGUGGCCUGUAGAAUUCCCUCUGUCAGUUGGGAUAAGACAGAUUAUUUUACGUUGAGGGGAGGGUGGGGCGCAUGGAUACCCCAUUCAGUUGAGCAUCCGACUCGAUUUCGGCUCAGGUCGUGAUCUCAGGGUUGUGAGAUCGAGCCUCGAGUCUGGCUCUGCACUCAGCAAGGAGGCUGCUCGAGACCCUUUGUCUCUCUCGCUCCCUCUGCACCCCUGCCCUACUCGUUCGCUCUAAAAUAAAUGAACGAACCUUUCAGUCGAGGAGAGACUGGUAGUGGGUACUUUAUUGAGAGCUCCAUAUGUAUGCUUAAGUCACGCCGGACUCGCGUGUGGGAGAGGAAUGUCAAGGGUUGAAAGACGGUUCCCCCAAAAGCCACGCAGAAGUCCAAGUCACUGGUCACCAAGGAUGCGGUUGUUCAGAAAUCGGCUGUUACCGAUGUAAUUUGUUAUGAUGAGGUCCAGUGGAGUGGGGUGGACCCCUGGUUCAGUCAGUCCUGCUGAGCAGACGGCCAUGUGAGGACAGGGACACGCGCAGGGAUGGCCACGAUGAAGGGUGAGAUGCGAGCGAUCCAGCUAGAAGCCCGGGAACGGCACGGACUGCGCACAGCCAGCAGGAGCUGGGAGAGGCAGGAAGGCUCCCCAGCCCCGCAGGUUUCCGAAGGAGCACAGCCCCGUCCACACCUGGAUUUUGCAUUUCUGGCCCGCAGCACUAUGAGAGAAUACGUUGCUGUUAUCUGCUGUGGACUCCGGUUACGGCGGCCCCAGCAAACAAGUCCAGGAAGAAGAGGGGAUGUGUCGGGGAGCCCUGAGUGGCCAGCAUUUUCCUGCGUGAUAACCAGUGCUGCAUCUCUCUGUACCCCCUGGAUCUUGACCUCCUAACACAAACAGAUAUUUAAACAAACAAAACAAGACCAAGAUCAAGUUGUCACGUUAGUAAAAAUAAACAUAAAAAGAUAAGUGAUU